RNAcentral lists this unclassified non-coding RNA (18 nucleotides) under Chlamydomonas reinhardtii. RNAcentral's name for it is "small RNA Cre_3062". The record is from RNAcentral. Lineage: Eukaryota; Viridiplantae; Chlorophyta; Chlorophyceae; Chlamydomonadales; Chlamydomonadaceae.
UGCCGGCCGACACACCGG